GGGGAAUAUUGCACAAUGGGGGAAACCCUGAUGCAGCGACGCCGCGUGGAGGAAGAAGGUCUUCGGAUUGUAAACUCCUGUUGUUGAGGAAGAUAAUGACGGUACUCAACAAGGAAGUGACGGCUAACUACGUGCCAGCAGCCGCGGUAAAACGUAGGUCACAAGCGUUGUCCGGAAUUACUGGGUGUAAAGGGAGCGCAGGCGGGCGAUCAAGUUGGAAGUGAAAUCCAUGGGCUCAACCCAUGAACUGCUUUCAAAACUGGUCGUCUUGAGUAGUGCAGAGGUAGGCGGAAUUCCCGGUGUAGCGGUGGAAUGCGUAGAUAUCGGGAGGAACACCAGUGGCGAAGGCGGCCUACUGGGCACCAACUGACGCUGAGGCUCGAAAGUGUGGGUAGCAAACAGGAUUAGAUACCCUGGUAGUCCACACCGUAAACGAUGAUUACUAGGUGUUGGGAGAUUGACCCUCUCAGUGCCGCAGUUAACACAAUAAGUAAUCCACCUGGGGAGUACGACCGCAAGGUUGAAACUCAAAGGAAUUGACGGGGGCCCGCACAAGCAGUGGAGUAUGUGGUUUAAUUCGACGCAACGCGAAGAACCUUACCAAGUCUUGACAUCCCUUGACGAUGCUGGAAACAGUAUUUCUCUUCGGAGCAAGGAGACAGGUGGUGCAUGGUUGUCGUCAGCUCGUGUCGUGAGAUGUUGGGUUAAGUCCCGCAACGAGCGCAACCCUUAUGGUCAGUUACUACGCAAGAGGACUCUGGCCAGACUGCCGUUGACAAAACGGAGGAAGGUGGGGAUGACGUCAAAUCAUCAUGCCCUUUAUGACUUGGGCUACACACGUACUACAAUGGCGUUAAACAAAGAGAAGCAAGACCGCGAGGUGGAGCAAAACUCAGAAACAACGUCCCAGUUCGGACUGCAGGCUGCAACUCGCCUGCACGAAGUCGGAAUUGCUAGUAAUCGUGGAUCAGCAUGCCAUGGUGAAUACGUUCCCG
This 995-nucleotide ribosomal RNA is filed under the name uncultured bacterium. RNAcentral describes it as "bacterial SSU rRNA". It matches the Rfam family "Bacterial small subunit ribosomal RNA", at positions 356 to 1376 of the family's 1533-position model. The record is from RNAcentral.